AGAGUUUGAUCAUGGCUCAGGAUGAACGCUAGCUACAGGCUUAACACAUGCAAGUCGAGGGGCAGCAUGUUGGUUGCUUGCAACCAAUGAUGGCGACCGGCGCACGGGUGAGUAACGCGUAUCCAACCUACCCUUGUCCAUCGGAUAACCCGCCGAAAGGCGGCCUAACACGAUAUGCGGUUCACAGCAGGCAUCUAAGGUGAACGAAAUGUGAAGGAGAAGGAUGGGGAUGCGUCUGAUUAGCUUGUUGGCGGGGUAACGCCACAAGGCUACGAUCAGUAGGGGUUCUGAGAGGAAGGUCCCCCCANAUUGGAACUGAGACACGGGUCCAAACUCCUACGGGAGCA
This 347-nucleotide ribosomal RNA is filed under the name uncultured bacterium. RNAcentral's name for it is "bacterial SSU rRNA". It matches the Rfam family "Bacterial small subunit ribosomal RNA", at positions 8 to 349 of the family's 1533-position model. The record is from RNAcentral.